This 886-nucleotide unclassified non-coding RNA is filed under the name Hevea brasiliensis (rubber tree). The record is from RNAcentral. Lineage: Eukaryota; Viridiplantae; Streptophyta; Magnoliopsida; Malpighiales; Euphorbiaceae.
GUGGAGUGGAGGACGCGUACAACGCAACAAACGGGGCAUAAAGAACACAUGCAAAACUCCAAAACCUCUCUCUGUUUUAGCUUUUCUUUCUUUCACCGAUUCGAAUUUCAUCUACAGUUCUCCUUCUCUCUCUCAAAUUAGGGUUUAUGCUCUUCUUUUGGUCACUUUGGGACUAAAAUUCGAUCGAUGCUGUUGCUGUUAUCACCGGUAUUAAUAUCUGUGAUCCUUUUAUAGAUUUCGUUUUAUUUUAGCUCCAUUGAAAUCUAGCUAUUCUUCUUGUUUCUUCAAUUUUUUCCGCUUUUACCUGUUCUGCUCGAUAUCGGGAAUAUUUGCAGUGUUAACUACCGUGAUUUAAUUGUGAAAUUACCGUUAUUAAUUGUCUUAUACAGAAAAAGUGCUAAAUCGUAUGCUAUUGAUUGUUGCUUAAGCGCUCCAUUGCUUUCGUUAACCCAUGCUAUUUAUAUAUGUUGUCUUGUGCUGAGUUUUUCUAAGUUAAUUCAUUUUAUUUAUGGGAAUUGAGAUCAUUUAUCCGUGUAGUUUUUUCUUAGCCCACAAAGAUCUUUCAAAUUUAAUUCGAACUUUCCUUGAAUGGAGGACAAUGAUUCACAAAGUCUGACUCCAGCUAUAUUGUAAAUGAGGUGUAGUUGAGUUGAGUCCUUAAAUUUCCUUGUUCAAUUUGUUGGACUGUGUAUCAUUGUAGACAUUGUGGAACUGGCAAUUGUUAUAUCCUCAAUUUCCUUUCUGGGUAUAUGUUCUGGUUGAAUUUAGUUCAUUGGUUAUUGAAACUUAUGGCCAUUCUUCAUGGUUGUCCACAUGUUUCUGAUUGUGAUAAUUCACUGUAUUUUGACUGUCCUUCACUGACAGACCGAAAGCUAUGCAAUGAAGC